UCGGGAAUUUUGGGCAAUGGGCGAAAGCCUGACCCAGCAACGCCGCGUGAGGGAUGAAGUAUUUCGGUAUGUAAACCUCGAAAGAAUGGGAAGAAUAAAUGACGGUACCAUUUAUAAGCUCCGGCUAACUACGUGCCAGCAGCCGCGGUAAUACGUAGGGAGCAAGCGUUGUCCGGAUUUACUGGGCGUAAAGGGCGCGUAGGCGGCGCGGUAAGUCACUUGUGAAAUCUCUGAGCUUAACUCAGAACGGCCAAGUGAUACUGCUGUGCUAGAGUGCGGAAGAGGCAACCGGAAUUCUUGGUGUAGCGGUGAAAUGCGUAGAUAUCAAGAGGAACACCUGAGGCGAAGGCGGGUUGCUGGGCCGACACUGACGCUGAGGCACGAAAGCGUGGGGAGCAAACA
This 402-nucleotide ribosomal RNA is filed under the name uncultured bacterium. Its description in RNAcentral is "bacterial SSU rRNA". It matches the Rfam family "Bacterial small subunit ribosomal RNA", at positions 355 to 774 of the family's 1533-position model. The record is from RNAcentral.